Molecule: ribosomal RNA, 621 nt
Filed under: uncultured fungus
Lineage: Eukaryota; Fungi
Description: eukaryotic LSU rRNA
Rfam family: Eukaryotic large subunit ribosomal RNA
Source: RNAcentral
AUAUCAAUAAGCGGAGGAAAAGAAACUAACAAGGAUUCCCCUAGUAACGGCGAGUGAAGCGGGAAGAGCUCAAAUUUGAAAUCUGGUGGCCUCAGGCUAUCCGAGUUGUAAUCUAUAGAAACAUUUUCCGCGUUGGCCCAUGUACAAGUCUCUUGGAAUAGAGCGUCAUAGAGGGUGAGAAUCCCGUCCUUGACAUGGACUACCAGUGCUUUGUGAUAUGUUUUCAACGAGUCGAGUUGUUUGGGAAUGCAGCUCAAAAUGGGUGGUAAAUUCCAUCUAAAGCUAAAUAUUGGCGAGAGACCGAUAGCGAACAAGUACCGUGAGGGAAAGAUGAAAAGCACUUUGGAAAGAGAGUUAAACAGUAUGUGAAAUUGUUGAAAGGGAAACGAUUGAAGUCAGUCGUGUCUAUUGGACUCAGCCGGUUCUGCCGGUGUACUUCCUUUAGAUGGGGUCAACAUCAGUUUUGAUCGCUGGAAAAGGGCAGGAGGAAUGUAGCACUCUCGGGUGAACUUAUAGCCUUCUGUCGCAUACAGUGGUUGGGACUGAGGAACGCAGCUUGCCUUUAUGGCCGGGAUUUAUCCACGUACAAGCUUAGGAUGUUGACAUAAUGGCUUUAAACGA